AGGAUGAACGCUGGCGGUCUGCUUAACACAUGCAAGUCGAACGGAGUAGCAAUACUUAGUGGCGGACGGGUGAGUAACGCGUGAGAAUCUACCUUCAGGACGGAGACAACAGUUGGAAACGACUGCUAACCCCCGAUGUACCGAAAGGGCAAAUAUUUAUAGCCUGAAGAAGAGCUCGCGUCCGAUUAGCUAGUUGGAGAGGUAAAAGCUCACCAAGGCGACGAUCGGUAGCUGGUCUGAGAGGACGAUCAGCCACACUGGGACUGAGACACGGUCCAGACUCCUACGGGAGGCAGCAGUGGGAAUAUUGGACAAUGGGCGCAAGCCUGAUCCAGCAAUGCCGCGUGUGUGAAGAAGGCCUUCGGGUUGUAAAGCACUUUUAUCAGGAACGAAAUACCAUUGGUUAAUAACCGGUGGGGCUGACGGUACCUGAGGAAUAAGCACCGGCUAACUUCGUGCCAGCAGCCGCGGUAA
This 474-nucleotide ribosomal RNA is filed under the name uncultured bacterium. Its description in RNAcentral is "SSU rRNA". It matches the Rfam family "Bacterial small subunit ribosomal RNA", at positions 26 to 523 of the family's 1533-position model. The record is from RNAcentral.